This 69-nucleotide transfer RNA is filed under the name Rattus norvegicus (Norway rat). It matches the Rfam family "tRNA". Rfam says of the family: Transfer RNA (tRNA) molecules are approximately 80 nucleotides in length. Their secondary structure includes four short double-helical elements and three loops (D, anti-codon, and T loops). Lineage: Eukaryota; Metazoa; Chordata; Mammalia; Rodentia; Muridae. The record is from Rfam by way of RNAcentral.
GGGGAUUUGGCUCAGUGGUAGAGCAUUUACCUAGCAAGCACAAGGCCCUGGGUUCGGUCCCCAGCUCCA